This 260-nucleotide ribosomal RNA is filed under the name uncultured bacterium. RNAcentral's name for it is "partial 16S ribosomal RNA". It matches the Rfam family "Bacterial small subunit ribosomal RNA", at positions 524 to 776 of the family's 1533-position model. The record is from RNAcentral.
UACGUAGGGGUGCAAGCGUUGUCCGGAAUUAUUGGGCGUAAAGAGCUCGUAGGCGGCCUGUCGCGUCGGCUGUGAAAACCCGAGGGCUCCAACCCGUCGGCCUGGCAGUCGGAUACGGGCAGGGCUAGAGUCCGGCAGGGGAGACUGGAAUUCCUGGUGUAGCGGUGAAAUGCGCAGAUAUCAGGAGGAACACCGAUGGCGAAGGCAGGUCUCUGGGCAUUAACUGACGCUGAGGAGCGAAAGCAUGGGGAGCGAACAGG